GAUGAACGCUAGCUACAGGCUUAACACAUGCAAGUCGAGGGGCAGCAUUGGUAUAGCUUGCUAUACCAGAUGGCGACCGGCGCACGGGUGAGUAACGCGUAUCCAACCUGCCCCAUGGGUUAGGAAUAAACUCCCGAAAGGGAGCCUAAUACCUGAUGUUGUGAGAAGAAGGCCUCUGAUUUUCACGAAAGACUUCGGUCGCCGAUGGAUGGGGAUGCGUACGAUUAGGCAGCAGGCGGGGUAACGGCCCACCUGGCCAACGAUCGUUAGGGGUUCUGAGAGGAAGGUCCCCCACACUGGUACUGAGACACGGACCAGACUCC
Molecule: ribosomal RNA, 323 nt
Filed under: uncultured Prevotella sp.
Lineage: Bacteria; Pseudomonadati; Bacteroidota; Bacteroidia; Bacteroidales; Prevotellaceae
Description: bacterial SSU rRNA
Rfam family: Bacterial small subunit ribosomal RNA
Source: RNAcentral